UAACAAAGCAGCCUUGCGUCUUGACCUAC
RNAcentral lists this small RNA (29 nucleotides) under Bombyx mori (domestic silkworm). RNAcentral describes it as "ovarian small RNA-18527". The record is from RNAcentral. Lineage: Eukaryota; Metazoa; Arthropoda; Insecta; Lepidoptera; Bombycidae.